This is a long non-coding RNA of Nicotiana tabacum (common tobacco), 2436 nucleotides long. RefSeq lists it as uncharacterized. The record is from RefSeq and is a predicted model, not a curated record. Lineage: Eukaryota; Viridiplantae; Streptophyta; Magnoliopsida; Solanales; Solanaceae.
GGUGUUGACUUACCAGCUAGAAGAAGUAGUAAGAAGCUCAGGUUUGACCCAGAAUGUUGGCUUGCUAUUUUUGAACUUGGUAUGGUUGAAGGUGUUGAAGAAUUUAGGAAGGCUGUUUAAUCCUAUGCUGUUGAGAAUAAAGUGCAGCUUACACUUAGGCCUAAUAAAAAAUAUAGAGUUAAAGUUAAGUGCAAAAGUAAGGAUUUGUGCAAAUGGGAGCUAUAUGCAAGUAGAGAUGGAGAUUCUGGAGAUUUCAUGGUGAAUGACUACCAUCUAUGGCAUAAGUGUACUAAUAAAAAUAAAAAUAAGUUUUGCACUUCUAAAUAUACAGAAGCUUGAUUUAUAUGUUGGGAGCCUUAUAUACAAGGCUAAGGCAAUUGUAAUGAAAGUGUUUAUAGGGGACUGAAAGCUAGAAUUUUUCAGAUUGGCUGAUUAUGCUGUUAUGAUUAGUAGGACAAAUCCAGGGAGUUCUUACUGGAUCAGAACUAACAAGGACACUGUACCAGGGAAGAAUAUGUUUGUUUUCUUUUAUGUCUAUUUUGAUGCCCUUAAAAUGGAUUGGUUAGAAAGUUGUAGAAGAAUUAUUGAUUUUGGUGGAUGCUUCUUGAAAGGGUUGUGUAAAGGUGAGUUACUGGUAGCUGUUGGCAAAAAUGGGAACAAUCAGAUGUUUGCAAUAGUAUGGGAAGUUGUGGACUAAGAGACAAAACACUCUUGGACAUGGUUCAUUCAACACUUGAGUGCUGACUUGGAAUUAGGAGAUGGUUUCAGCUUAACAGUAAUGUCAGACAGUUAAAAGAGCAUAGGAUGUAUUUUAGACAUAUAUGGUCCAACUGGGCAAACAAAAGGGAAAUGUGAAGAAAGAAGGAUACAAUUUUGGAGAUGUGCCAAGCCUUCCUUUGUAGUGCAUUUCAAGGAUGAGCUUGCCAGAUUGGGAAUGCUGGGGAGAAACAUAUGUGAGGAUGUUCUGGAUUACAACAAAGAAGUAUGGGUAAGGGCUUAUUUUAGUCCUGUGUCCAAAUGUGAUGUUGUUGAAAACAAUAUGUGUGAGACAUUUAAUUCAUGGAUAGUGGUACCUAGGCACAAGUCAAUUAUAACUAUGUGAGAGAAAAUUAGACACAAAGUGAUGACUAGAACUGUUGAUAUGAGGAGAUUUGAUGAUGCUUGGAUAACAAAUAUAUCCCCUACAGCAAGAAUGAAUUUAGAAGAAAAUAAAGAUGCAUCUCGGAGAUGUAAAGUUCUUUGGAAUGGGGAUAAUGGUUUUGAGAUUUCUGAUGAUGAUAUUAGGCAUAUUGUUGAUUUAAGAGAGAAGAAUUGCACUUGUAAAACCUGGAUGUUGAGAGGAAUUCCAUGCCCUCAUGCUAUUUGUUCCCUAUAUCACUUAGGACAGAAUCCAGAUGACUUGGUUAAAUAUUGGUACAGAAAGACAACCUUCAUGAAAGCUUACUAAUAUUUUAUACAAUCUAUUCCCAACAUGAAAAUGUGGCAAGAAUUAUCAAAUCCCUCUAUUGAUCCACCUGAACCAAAACCAAUGCCAGGAAAGCCUAAAAGAUGCAGGAGAAGAGCAAAGGAUAAGCCAAGAAAGAAACAUGGCAAGCUGUCAAAUAAAUGAGUGAAGAUGACUUGUUCAAAGUGUUAUCAGUUAGGUCACAACAAAACUACAUGCAAAUUAGGGGUAGGAUCAAUUAAUUUUCUAUGAUUUUAGCAUUCUAUAAUUCACACUAACUGUUUAUGCUUCAGUCAACUCAAAUAAGUCAGCCAACUCCAAGGAGGCAGCCAACCUCAAUCAUGCCUACCAUUCUAUCCUCAAUUUAUGAGGACAUAUCUGCUGUGAAACGAUGUGGUCAGAGUCAGUCCAGUUCUGUAGGAAAAUGAAGAGGAAGGGGGAGGAGAAAUGGCCUAGGAAGGGGAUAUUUUAGAUCAGUAGCUACUGCUAUGGAAGGAAGGGGCAUAAGCACACAAGCAACAUCUGAAACUCAGCAAAUAAUAGGAUAUAAGAGGUCUAGGCAGUCUGGUUUUGGUGUUUAUCAAGACACAAUGACUGAAAGAUCUAUAUUGAAUGUAAGCUGGUUCUAUAAGCUUGUUUCUUUCUUUUAUAUAUCAAUUGCUAAUUUUAGUAUUUUGCAGCCUGGUGCACAUUACGAAAGAGUAAUAGCACCUGGUACAUUUAGAGAUGCAUCUGCAACAAAUAUUGAUCUUCGAUUUAAGCUUAAUGGUCUUCAGAUGAUGAGUGCAGCCAGGAAUAUAAGAAGUUCCAGUCAACCCAUGGAGGGAAAAAUAUUUUAGAAGUCUUUUGUCUAUGUUAUAGGGCUAGUUAAGUUAAGGUUAUUAUGAAUCUUUUGUAUGAUAUUUUUUGGUAUUGCAAUUGUAAGACCCAUGUUGGGGAUGCUUUCUGCUAUUUUCCAAUUGCAGACUUAAGUAGUCGAUGAUUCAGACCAA